GCCAUCUGAAGCGCCGUGAUCCUGGUCGCCACACCCCUGAUCCUCCAUGGUAAGGAGGGGGCCGGCGGUUCGAGUCCGCCAGAGGGCU
RNAcentral lists this transfer RNA (88 nucleotides) under Actinomycetota bacterium. RNAcentral's name for it is "tRNA-Ser". The record is from RNAcentral. Lineage: Bacteria; Bacillati; Actinomycetota.